GGCAGGGGACACCAGACCAUCUCACAUCUACCAAACUCCUGGACUGAGCUUUCAGCUCUGCGCUUCUGAGACUCAGGGGAAGUCAGCGGCCCUCCAAGUAUCGUCCAGACCCGGCAGAAGGUCCUGAUGCCUCCGCUGAGACACACUCCAGCCCCUGGUGGACCCCACUGCCAGCUGUGAUCCUUGGUCCAGCCUGGGUGCCCACCAUGGCCUGUGGCCUUCUGGACUUUCACCUGCUUGUUCAGA
This 246-nucleotide long non-coding RNA is filed under the name Ictidomys tridecemlineatus (thirteen-lined ground squirrel). RNAcentral describes it as "lncRNA (ENSSTOG00000032427.1)". The record is from RNAcentral. Lineage: Eukaryota; Metazoa; Chordata; Mammalia; Rodentia; Sciuridae.